GACGAACGCUGGCGGCGUGCCUAAUACAUGCAAGUUGAGCGCUGAAGGUUGGUACUUGUACCAACUGGAUGAGCAGCGAACGGGUGAGUAACGCGUGGGGAAUCUGCCUUUGAGCGGGGGACAACAUUUGGAAACGAAUGCUAAUACCGCAUAAAAACUUUAAACACAAGUUUUAAGUUUGAAAGAUGCAAUUGCAUCACUCAAAGAUGAUCCCGCGUUGUAUUAGCUAGUUGGUGAGGUAAAGGCUCACCAAGGCGACGAUACAUAGCCGACCUGAGAGGGUGAUCGGCCACAUUGGGACUGAGACACGGCCCAAACUCCUACGGGAGGCAGCAGUAGGGAAUCUUCGGCAAUGGACGAAAGUCUGACCGAGCAACGCCGCGUGAGUGAAGAAGGUUUUCGGAUCGUAAAACUCGGUUGGUAGAGAAGAACGUUGGUGAGAGUGGAAAGCUCAUCAAGUGACGGUAACUACCCAGAAAGGGACGGCUAACUACGUG
This 497-nucleotide ribosomal RNA is filed under the name uncultured bacterium. RNAcentral's name for it is "partial 16S ribosomal RNA". It matches the Rfam family "Bacterial small subunit ribosomal RNA", at positions 28 to 507 of the family's 1533-position model. The record is from RNAcentral.